UGUUGGGAUCCUGAGAGUGCCAGUGCCUGGGUACAGGCAGUAUUUCAGGCUUUCAAGGCUGUGGUGUUGGUGGGGUUGAAGUUACGGGCUCCAAACAGUAAAGCAGGACUUGGGUAAUACCUGGUUUACAGUUGGAGCAAACAGAAAAUUCCACUAAAAUAAAGAUAUGACAUGAAGAAAGGAUAGAGUUGGGAAAUGGAGUGGGAGGGUAGAGCAGAGGGACCUGGAGGGCACAGGAGGGGUGGGAACUGGGCUGGUGAGGUCAAGACUGUGGACACACCCUCCUCUUAUUGCUCCCUCCACCCUUAGAAACCCUUUGUGACUUCCAUGCUCUAUGAUGCAGGCCUGGGCUUAUAGGUAAGCCUGGGCAAACUCAGGGCUCAGUUGCUUCAGGCAGCCAUGCUAUUCACCUCAUGGGGAAUAUCCUCUUUUUUCUGAACAGCUGUACUGAGUCAGGGCUCAGCUCUGGCUUGGCACAUUGCUUGGAUAUUGACCCCGACUUCAUCUGCUUGACUGGGCUGGGGUUGUUUAUGCUGUACUUGUUCUACGUGCUAUUGACUCUCUAUUUGUCACCCCCCGGGAAAAAUAAUGACAUCCCAAUGCUUCAGGGCAGAGCCAGGAGGAGAGAGAAACGUGGGACAUCUAAAGAUAAGACCAGAUAACCUUCCAGAAAGCAGCAGAAGAGGAAAGGAAGCUGGUUUCUUUUCUGAAAAGUCCUGGCUGCAGCAUCGGGCCUCCUGCUUUCUGCAGUCCCCGUGAUACUGCCUGCUUUCGUCAACUGUUAUGCCCAGAUCCCCUCUGUGAGGUGUGUAACAGAACAGCUGCUGAGAUCCAGUGAGUGCUGUGUUGGGAGUCCCAGAAAGAUUCAGCCACCCCUCCAGAAGACUAAUAGUGUCCCCUUGUCCUGACCGUUCUCCACCACCCCCCUUAAUUCUCUCACCUGACCUGAUCACCCCUUUAGCUGACUUAUUUUCACUCUCACUGCUGAGGGAUUCUCUGCCACCAAAGCCUGUUCCUCCCCUGCAUUCCAAGUUCCCUAUAGACCAUUCCCCACCCCAACAGCUUCCCUUUUACCUUCUCCCACCACAUCACAUUCAGAGAGCAAAGCCCAAUCUCGAUCCUGAGGCCAGUUUGUCUCUGAACACCAUCUUUUCAUUUGACUCUAGUCAAAUAUUGGUUCUCCCCAGUAAAUGUUCUAAUAAGAAUUAUGUCUUUUCCAUGUACUGUGUUGUGGGGUAUAGAUUUUGAGUAACCCAAGCUUGUGUUUAGUGAAAGGUAGGAGUUAGUUCAGCUCUUACUGACUGCUUCCUUUGACUUCUAAAAGGUGACCAAUUCCCUGGAGCUCUUGUGGAGGAAUGGGUAUCCUGUGUCUCAGAAAGCCCCUUCUCUCCCUGAUGGAGUCUGAGGAGAUGGGCUUUUUUCUGCCUCUUUGCUUGAGACUUACUGAUAUGAUAUGGCAGCCUGCACGUUCCUCUCCAUUCACUGCUUCAUAUUUAGAGCAGUGAGGAAGACAGGCCUUCCGUUUGUGAAGAGAGGGUUAAGGACAGGUAUAUUUUUCAGAAAUAAUAGUUUAGUCACUAUUUUCAAAAAGUGUUCAGUUACCAGAGGGUCAUGUAAGUUGGUGGAGUGUUGAGGGUAUUGCUGGUUGCGGUAACCCAUUGUCAGGAACACCAUGGGUACUGCUUAAGAAUCUGAGAAACAGAGCAUGCUUAUAAUUUAGAGAAGCAUGUUUUGACCUCAGUGUUGAGGCUCUUCUACUAAAAAGUCACUGUGGGGAAGUAGUCCCCUCCGUGGGUAUUUCUCCAGGCUGCCUGCAUUGAUGACUUUUUGUUUUUUGAGACAGGGUCUCACUCUGUCGCCCAAACUGUAGUGCAGUGGUGUGAUCUCAGCUCACUGCAACUUCCGUCUUCCAGGCUCAAGUGAUUCUCUUGCCUCAGCCUCCUGAGUAGCUGGAAUUACAGGUACGCCCCUGUAAUUCCAUGCCUGGCUUAUUUUUGUAUAGAGACAGAGUUUCACCAUGUUGCCCAGGCUGCUCUUCAACUGCUGAUCUCAAAUGAUACGCUUGCCUCGGCCUCCAAAAGUGCUGGGAUUACAGUUGUGAGCCACUGUGCCCGGCUGAUUGGUGACAUUUUUGCAGAGCAGAACGAUCCUUUAUCUGUCUGUGGCAGCCAUGUUGACCAGGCAACCACCUACCACAUAGGGUAAAAUUAAGCUGAGAAUAAAGAAAAAAGCACCUUAGAAUGAAUGAGAAAGUAAGAAGAAGGUGAAGAUAGGAAAGGAUGACCCUGCUGGUGGAAAAAGGUUUGUGCCCCAUUCAUGUCCAUAUCACGACCCUUUCUCAAUCUGGAUCUAGGCACCACCCCCUUGAGGUUUACCAGGGCACUGCAGAGAUUAGAGAUGCCAUUUUGCCAGAAGUGUACACGGUUCUAUUUUUAAAUUACUGUAAUAGUAUAAGCAGGACUGUUUUCAAGCAUGACCUCCCUCUCUUUAAAGAAGAUGAUCUUUAUGCCUUCUCUCCAGCCAUGUUGAUGGCAACAUAGAAGAUCUUCCCUUAGUGUAUACGGUGCACUUAUCAGGAUGGAGGUGUCACCUAUGAUCUUCAUGGACUUAGUGGAAUAUAAUCGAUAUUGUCUAGAACACCCGCAGCUCAUGAUCCGGAGGUCUCCCUGCCUAAAAGCACUACCAUUUUGGAAGAAGGAAGACAUUUUAACUUCAAGUGAAGUUGGUGUUUUGAUGAAUACAUCUUACAGGACGUUUUAAUUACUGAGCUAGAUUAUUCGUGGCACUACGAAUUACUUAAAGAAUGGUUAAGAACAUCUGGGACCUUCCCUCACCUAGUAUUUCCUUCAAAAGGCAAGAGAAAAAUAAGUCUCCAGAUUGGUUAUAAGGGGUCUGUGAGGGGAACGAAUGAAAAUUUUCCCCUGCAUGCUAUGGAGUUCAGCUUAUUUGUUCUACUUAAUGAUUAUCCUUAUUCUAUGUGGUAGAGCUUAGCAAUGUACUGUUUACCUUCUGUCUGCCUUACUAGACAGAGAGCUCAAAAAGACAGGGGCUCUUGCAGACAGGUAUGGAAAAAACGAAAAGAAGAUAGGGGCAACAUUUUUAUUAAUCCUGUUAAUCCAAGACCAACUAUAGUACUUGACAUGGAGUGACCAUUUAAUGUUUGUUGAAUUACCUCCCUCCCAUCAUCAUCUUGGUGAAAGAAUUACUUGAAUGCCAAAAGUACUUUGAGUAUGAGAAAUUCAGUAUUUCAUGAUACAAAGAAGGCAGAAUGCUUAAGUGCAUAAAGAGAUAUUGUGUUCCCAGGUUUAGAUCCAUUUACCAUCACUCCAUUCAAUGGGAAAACACUUUACUUCUGAACUGUAUCACAGGGCUGGUUUUAUUCUUCCCUUUUUAUUCCAGCUCUCAGCCACCUAAUCUCUCUCCCCUGUUGCAACAGGGCAUGAACGUAGCUUUCAUGAGGCCCAGUGUUUGGAUUAAAUUCUAAAAAUAAUCCCCUUCUCUCCACAUCUUACACUGCUGUGAUUCUUUUUUAAAAGCAGAGUCUGAAUCCUUAUUGUUUAAAAGUCAACAUCUCCUGUAUUAUUGGGGCAAAUGCAAAAAAUCUGACAAUGUUGUGAACGACUGUGGAGAGGGCUUGUUUCCGUAUAAAAACUAUAGCAUUACUGUCACUGUGAUCCAGAGAUGAGAAGUUAUAAAACAUUUUGACUCAAAUAGAUGCCACAUGAAUUUAAAAAUUUUCAUGUGGAUAAUAAUUUUUCAAACAAAAUGUCGCCAUGAUUUAAUCCCUCCUAGAAAGACAGGAGUGUAUCUUCAAACAAACUGCCUAAGCUGUUUGUUCACAGUUUGCUUUUUGAUUCAGCAGGAUGGAUUAUGAGGGGUAACAACCAGAGCUGUGACAGCUCUGGCUAAAUCCCACAUGGCGUUCAAUCCUUCUCUCUUUUAGAAAUCUCUCCAAGUUUGGAAUUCUACGAAAGGCUUAAUGGUAGUCACUGGAGGAGUGCCUUGGCUUGAUGAACACAGUUCCUGGUACAUGGUAAUCACACAAAUACUGGUUGAAUGAAAUAAUGGACGAGCGUGGAUUUGACAUGAAAUAUGGAAGAAGUUAGAGGAGACAGCAUUAUAUGUGCUAGAGUUGUCAGUAAGUUUCAUGCAGGAUGAAUCACCAGUGCAAUCCAUGAUUCUUCAGGAUGUAACAUGGGCAUGCCCUUGACCUAUGCAUGGGGUAGAGGGAUAUCUAGAGCUUGUUUUUGAAAGGUGGGAAGUAUGGAUGGUCUCAGAGGCAGGGAAGAGGCACCAGGGGUUGGGUGAAAUAGGCUAAAAGAGUAGUGUGAAAUAAGCACAGGUCAUGAGGAAACUAGUUCUUCCGGUGGUUGAUGGGUAAUUGUAGAAAACUUGGUGGGACCAUGCACUGUUUUAAUAAAGGUGCUACUUUAUUAGCACUUUAUUAGCUUGGAUUCUUCAUAAGCAGAUCCUGUGAUGAGUAUUUGAGCAAGUGAUUUCUUAAGUAAGUGCUUCCAGAUGAGAUUUAUAAAAGAAUGGAGGGAAGGGGAGGAAGCCAAGCAAGGGUGUGUGUAUGUUUAGGCAAAGUCUUAGUCUCAGCCUGAUCAUGCCAGGGAGUUCUCAAGUAUAAAUUACACCUCAGAGUAUAUGCAGACCCAGGCAAGGGAGCCAGGUAUUCACACUUCCACUUUAGGUAUUAACUAAGGGCUAUUCCAAGGCCUGGUAAACUUCCAGGGAUAAAGUAGCUCAGAAGAAAGUAUCAGGUACCGUGGGCAAUUAGAAGCAAAACACAAUGAUGCCAGGGGAUGGACACACAGAAAGGUCAAAGGGGAGAUGGGAAGGAAUCUGAGCAGAGCUCUGGCAGGGUCUGCUACGGGAAUUCUAGCCUGAUGUGAUAGGCAACAGAGAUUUGUCACUGGCUGCACAUUAGAAGCACCUGAGGAGCUUUUAAAGAAAAAUUAGUGACUGAGCUCCAGCGCAGAUGAAUUAAAUCAGAACCUCUUCAGGUACAGCUUAGGUAUCAAUGGUUUUUAAAAUCUUCUCCUGUGGAAUCAAAUAAUUGCCUGGAUUAUAAGACUCUUGGGUAAGGAUGUGGCAGGAUGUAAAUAGUACUUAGGGAGAUCUAUGGGUAUGAACUUUUAGACUGGAUUGAAGGGAGAAGAAACUGGAGGAGACAAUGGAGUUUUGGCCAAUGCUGAUGACUUAGACUGUGAUGGUGGCAGAGCAAAUGGACAUAAAGAAAUACGUGUGAUGGAUAGUUUAAGAAAAAAUUCAAGAGACUUGACAACUGAUUGAAUGGGAGGGCUUGAGGGGAUGGAGGAGUCAAAGAUGGCUUGAAAAUGUCCAGGCUGGGAGUCUGGCUUUGAAGCAAUGUCAUUGAAGUACUAUGACUCUUAGGCCAUGUGGAAAAUUACAUCAGCAUAGCCCUUUGACAUUUGCAGCUGGAAAAGGGAAGAUGCUAUAUUAAUGAGGAAGCUUUUCUCAGGGACUAGAUUAUUCUUUGGUCAUGAAUUAGACAUUCUUUUUUUAAGACUUUCAGGGUAAAAGUGACUGUUUAAAUCAUGUAAUCCUUAGUAUAACAAAACUUGUUCCUUGUUCCAAGGAACUUGGACGUUGGGUGUUUGUAAAACGGUGUUCAUAAUUCUGCCAUACUGUGCUAGUGUUAAUAUUCCAGUUGAAACUAAUGGCAUUGGUUAGUUCUGCUAUAGAUUCGGCUGAAUAUACAAGCUUACAGCUAUCUAUCUAUACAUGCAAGGUAUUGUUCAUGUUUGGGGAGUUGUAAAGAGAAUAACUUUUAUCUCAAUAUAAUUAUGCAAGCACUGAGAUUUACAUAUUUUACUUAAUUGGGUAACUUUUCUUUGUAGGGACAAAGUAAAAGAUAGUCAUCAAACUAAUAAUGGUACUCUUUUCACAUAAUGUUUUCUCAACACUUCACAUGAAGAAUCUUGUAAGAUAGUAAAGAAAGUACUGUAAUUAUUUGCACCUUACAAAUGAAAUAGUUGAGGUCCACAGAGGUAAAAUGUCUUAACCAUGAUUGCUCAGCAUGAAAGGUGGUAGAAAAGUGGCUGAUGUCAGAACAUUUGUUUCCCAGGUGAAGUCUCUUUCCGUUAUGGACUAGCAGUGAUGUCAUUCUGAAGCACUAAGAAAUGAUUCUUCUGAGUUACGCUUCUCCUAGGUAACGAGCAUUCUGAUUUGGUGUCUUGCUUCCUAUAUAUGAAUCGUGGCGUUUCAUUUGGAGCAGCAGCAGCAGCAACAAGUAUCAGUUUGACGCUAUCAGAUGUUAGAUGUCGUUACUGGUACUUAGCAAACAUUUCCUUUAAUCUUCUUAAAAAUCCUGUAUGGUAAAUAAAUAGCCUCAUUUUGCAAAUAAGAAAA
Molecule: non-coding RNA, 6375 nt
Organism: Callithrix jacchus (white-tufted-ear marmoset)
Lineage: Eukaryota; Metazoa; Chordata; Mammalia; Primates; Cebidae
Source: RefSeq, a predicted model, not a curated record